RNAcentral lists this ribosomal RNA (345 nucleotides) under Triticum aestivum (bread wheat). RNAcentral describes it as "partial small subunit ribosomal RNA". Lineage: Eukaryota; Viridiplantae; Streptophyta; Magnoliopsida; Poales; Poaceae. The record is from RNAcentral.
AUGAUCAGGCCGUCGAGCAAGCAAGGCAGCUACAAGCUUCCCUAUCACAACACAAAUUGGAGCCUCCAAUUACCAGCAACCACGAUGACAUUACAAUCUACACUGAACAAGCGAGAAAGACAAGUUUCUGGGCACAUAGACAGUGUUUACUGUCCAUCUCCAGAUUCACCCUUGGGAGCAUCCUUCAUUUCUUCAGCAGCGUCCUCCUAUGUCAGAAGUCCACAGCGUCAGGUUAUCACGCAGAAGCUGCAUGAUCAAAGUGCUGUCCUUGUAGGACUCCUCGCUCAGAGAGUCCAGUUCCGAGAUGGCCUCAUCAAAAGCCUGACACGAGCAACACAAGAGUGA